This 211-nucleotide long non-coding RNA is filed under the name Homo sapiens (human). RNAcentral describes it as "non-protein coding lnc-FAM83A-4:1". Lineage: Eukaryota; Metazoa; Chordata; Mammalia; Primates; Hominidae. The record is from RNAcentral.
AUGCAGAUCUUUGUGAAGACCCUCACAGGCAAGACCAUCACCCUUGAGAUCGAGCCCAGCAACGCCAAAAUUCAGGACAAGGAGGGCAUCCCACCUGACCAGCAGCGUCUGAUACUUGCGGGCAAACAGCUGGAGGAUGGCCGCACUCUCUCAGACUACAACAUCCAGAAGGAGUCCACCCUGCACCUGGUGCUGCGCCUGCGAGGUGGCA